GUUUAAGACUUUUCAGAGAUGGAUUGGUGCCUUCGGGAACUUACAUACAGGUGCUGCAUGGCUGUCGUCAGCUCGUGUCGUGAGAUGUUGGGUUAAGUCCCGCAACGAGCGCAACCCUUUUCCUUAUUUGCCAGCGAGUAAUGUCGGGAACUUUAAGGAUACUGCCAGUGACAAACUGGAGGAAGGCGGGGACGACGUCAAGUCAUCAUGGCCCUUACGGCCAGGGCUACACACGUGCUACAAUGGUCGG
RNAcentral lists this ribosomal RNA (250 nucleotides) under uncultured bacterium. RNAcentral's name for it is "partial 16S ribosomal RNA". It matches the Rfam family "Bacterial small subunit ribosomal RNA", at positions 988 to 1237 of the family's 1533-position model. The record is from RNAcentral.